GAUGAACGCUGGCGGCGUGCCUAAUACAUGCAAGUCGAGCGAACAGACGAGGAGCUUGCUCCUCUGACGUUAGCGGCGGACGGGUGAGUAACACGUGGAUAACCUACCUAUAAGACUGGGAUAACUUCGGGAAACCGGAGCUAAUACCGGAUAAUAUAUUGAACCGCAUGGUUCAAUAGUGAAAGACGGUUUUGCUGUCACUUAUAGAUGGAUCCGCGCCGCAUUAGCUAGUUGGUAAGGUAACGGCUUACCAAGGCAACGAUGCGUAGCCGACCUGAGAGGGUGGACGGCCACCCGGGAAGUGAGGCACGGUCCCGACUCCUACAGGGGGCCGCAGUAGGGAAUCCUCCGGGAUGGGCGAAAGCCUGACGGGGCAACGCCGCGGGAGUGAUGAAGGUCUUCGGAUCGUAAAACUCUGUUAUUAGGGAAGAACAAAUGUGUAAGUAACUAUGCACGUCUUGACGGUACCUAAUCAGAAAGCCACGGCUAACUACGUG
RNAcentral lists this ribosomal RNA (497 nucleotides) under uncultured bacterium. RNAcentral describes it as "partial 16S ribosomal RNA". It matches the Rfam family "Bacterial small subunit ribosomal RNA", at positions 28 to 507 of the family's 1533-position model. The record is from RNAcentral.